Long non-coding RNA from Helianthus annuus (common sunflower), 520 nucleotides. RefSeq lists it as uncharacterized. The transcript has 2 exons. NCBI's taxonomy places the organism in Eukaryota, Viridiplantae, Streptophyta, Magnoliopsida, Asterales, Asteraceae. The record is from RefSeq and is a predicted model, not a curated record.
UACCAAGUCCAUAUUUGCAGGCUACUGUACUGGAGUGUAUUAUUUAUUUUUAAUCAAUAUAAUUGCAUAUGGUAUCAUACAUAAGAUGGUGAACCACUUGCCGAUUGUUGGGUCCGAUAAUAAGUUUGUAUUUCUUACUAUUUUGAUGUAUAUGUUUUCAAAUUCUGCUUAAAGUAGUAGUAGCCACUAGCUAUUGAUAUCCAGAUUUUUUAGGAAUUUUUCUGAGUAUCUGUUUUGCAGGUUCAUUGUGUUUGAGUCUCUUUUAUCUCUGCUGUUACAUACUUAGUUUAAGGCACUCAAACAUCAUAAGUUCAUAACACUUCAUGGGUACCGUGUAGAACAGGGACAAGACAUGUUUAUGUAUGAUUAUGUAAGAAAUCUCUCUCUGGACCAUGCUUUGCAUUCUGAAGUAAACAUGCUUUUAUCUUGGGGCAUGCGUCUCAAAAUUUGUAAUAGCCGAAGAUAUAAAGUAAUCAUCUCAUCUUUACUUGAAUCAUUAAUUAAUAUGUGUUUAUCAUUA